CGACGGGCGCGUUGCAAGUCAAGGUAAGAAAAAAGCUAGGCUCAGGUGAAAAAAAAGACGAAAGAAGAGAGGCUCAGGUGAAAAAAAAGAGUGGCUCAGAAUUAUCUAUCAGAUUAUCUGCCGCUUAGCUGGCUUCUCCAACUGCAUUGAGCGCGACGGAAGAAAAAGCUAAGGUAGGAAAGAAGAGAGGCUCAGGUGAAAAAAAAGAGUGGCUCAGAAUUAUCUACCAGGUUAUCUGUCAUUUAAUUCCUUCAGAGAGGAAUUCCCAGAUAGCAUUUUUCAUCAUUGCCAUCUGCCAAGAGAGUUGAACCUCGUACUACCUCCUCAGAAGCAGAACGAGCUAACGGCAGCUCAACGUUGGUGUUAACAAAAUUUUGGUAAGUUAAAAAGAAGGAAAAAUCCAACUCACCAUCUAUUUAUUUUUUUUUGUAGAAAACUCGAGACGAGAGAUUUUUCAAAAGGCUAAAAUGCGAGCUCACGGGACUGGAGGUCAAAGGCAGUCCUCUUUUUCCUUCCCUAGAAGCCUGACGUUGCAAUCGUUUACUGGCAGGGGGAUCAUGUACACGUUUUCCGCGGAGCGAUCCUUGUAUAUGUUCUAUGCGG
RNAcentral lists this long non-coding RNA (603 nucleotides) under Selaginella moellendorffii. RNAcentral describes it as "long non-coding RNA (SMOE_LNC000463)". Lineage: Eukaryota; Viridiplantae; Streptophyta; Lycopodiopsida; Selaginellales; Selaginellaceae. The record is from RNAcentral.